This 99-nucleotide transfer RNA is filed under the name Bacteroides xylanisolvens. RNAcentral's name for it is "tRNA-Ala(tgc)". Lineage: Bacteria; Pseudomonadati; Bacteroidota; Bacteroidia; Bacteroidales; Bacteroidaceae. The record is from RNAcentral.
GCUUCCAUAGGUAAAUGGUUUAGUCCUUAUUCCAGUUUGCGUCUGGUAGGUACGGGAGGCUUUUUCACCAAUUAUGUAGUUCCUGCCAAUGUGGAAGGC